UAAUUUGACUUAUUGUGUAAUAUAUAUUAUAAUAAGUACGUCUUUAUGACUAUGAUGAUAAACGUUAUAUAUAAUAAAUGAUAUGGACCCGAGGGCGGAACUCGGCAUCUCCACCAUUUUUAAGGGGAUGAUUAGCUUAGACAUACAUCGAAAAAUAUGAUUUUGUCCGGCAAGAUACAACCGUAAUAGUUCAAAACAUAAAUGCUGAAGAUAAUUCAGACCUUGCUUUAGCUGCAUAACCUUCGGGUUAAUCUCAAUAGAGAUUUUGUUAUUGCAAGAAUGGUCUUGAGUGAACCAUUUUAAAGAAUCACUCUAUU
This 317-nucleotide transfer-messenger RNA is filed under the name Rickettsiales bacterium. It matches the Rfam family "Alphaproteobacteria transfer-messenger RNA". From Rfam's summary of the family: Bacterial tmRNA, also known as 10Sa RNA or SsrA, is named for its dual tRNA and mRNA-like properties. Its role is to liberate the mRNA from a stalled ribosome. Lineage: Bacteria; Pseudomonadati; Pseudomonadota; Alphaproteobacteria; Rickettsiales. The record is from RNAcentral.